CAGUCGCCGCGGUAAUACGAAGGGGGCUAGCGUUGUUCGGAAUUACUGGGCGUAAAGCGCACGUAGGCGGCGAUCAAAGUCAGGCGUGAAAUUCCUGGGCUCAACCUGGGGGCUGCGCUUGAUACUUGGUUGCUUGAGUGGGGAAGAGGGUCGUGGAAUUCCCAGUGUAGAGGUGAAAUUCGUAGAUAUUGGGAAGAACACCGGUGGCGAAGGCGGCGACCUGGUCCUUGACUGACGCUGAGGCGCGAAAGCGUGGGGAGCAAACAGGAUUAGAUACCCCCGUAGUCCCUGUCUCUUAUAC
RNAcentral lists this ribosomal RNA (301 nucleotides) under uncultured bacterium. RNAcentral's name for it is "partial 16S ribosomal RNA". It matches the Rfam family "Bacterial small subunit ribosomal RNA", at positions 509 to 807 of the family's 1533-position model. The record is from RNAcentral.